Molecule: long non-coding RNA, 337 nt
Filed under: Homo sapiens (human)
Lineage: Eukaryota; Metazoa; Chordata; Mammalia; Primates; Hominidae
Description: non-protein coding lnc-ZNF479-16:1
Source: RNAcentral
GAUGGGGAUGAGAUUUCAAUUGCUCCGGGACCGACGCAUCUCCUCACAUGGACCAGGUCUUCACACACCCAAAGCGGCUUCGCAGCGGCAAAAACAAUUGACAACCAGUCUCAUGACCCAGGCAGAGAUGCAGAAAGAGGCUCACCAAAGACAGGCCGCCAUGAGAGAAAUCGCUUUGUGGUGCAAAGGGCACAUUCGGACAAAGACACACACACACAUGGACACACACACACAAACCGACAGAGAGAGGGAAAGAAACACACAGAGACUGAGAGACAGAGAGAGAAAAGAGAACCGGACACACACACAGACACACACACACACACACACAAACACA